GAUGAACGCUAGCGGGAGGCUUAAUACAUGCAAGUCGAGGGGUAUCAUUUAGCUUGCUAUUUGAGAGACCGGCGCACGGGUGCGUAACGUGUAUGCAACCUACCUUAAACUGGGGGAUAGCCCGGAGAAAUCCGGAUUAAUACCGCAUAAUACUAUCGGAUAGCAUUUUUUGGUAGUUAAAGAUUUAUUGGUUUAAGAUGGGCAUGCGUCUGAUUAGCUAGUUGGUAAGGUAAUGGCUUACCAAGGCAACGAUCAGUAGCGGGUCUGAGAGGAUGAUCCGCCACACUGGUACUGAGACACGGACCAG
RNAcentral lists this ribosomal RNA (307 nucleotides) under uncultured bacterium. RNAcentral's name for it is "bacterial SSU rRNA". It matches the Rfam family "Bacterial small subunit ribosomal RNA", at positions 28 to 334 of the family's 1533-position model. The record is from RNAcentral.